AUUAUCUGACAUCUGUGUUUUUAUGUUUAUCUAGAUUCUCCCUAAAGCAUGAAGCUUAGAGCCCAGCCACCCUAAAAAAAUUGAUUAAAUUGGACAGAACUCUGCUUUAAAAUCAAACAGAGGAGUGCACUCGUGAAAGCAUCAAGGAAAGCAACAACACCACAGGAGGUGGGAAAGGACCCAACCUUUGCCUGAAUAACAGUCACUCUUACAAGGAAAUCAGAAAAUCGUUCUUAAUUCUUUUCUCAUUGGUAACCAGGAUUUUGCCUUUCUCAAGCACUUAGGAGAGGUCCAGAUUCCCUGUUUUAAAUCCAAAAGUUGUUAUUUCAAAUAUGGCAGUACCCAC
Molecule: long non-coding RNA, 346 nt
Filed under: Pan troglodytes (chimpanzee)
Lineage: Eukaryota; Metazoa; Chordata; Mammalia; Primates; Hominidae
Description: lncRNA (ENSPTRG00000054066.1)
Source: RNAcentral